RNAcentral lists this unclassified non-coding RNA (214 nucleotides) under fungal sp. RNAcentral describes it as "partial internal transcribed spacer region". The stretch from base 1 to 46 matches the Rfam family "Eukaryotic small subunit ribosomal RNA", at positions 1786 to 1831 of the family's 1831-position model. Lineage: Eukaryota; Fungi. The record is from RNAcentral.
AAGUCGUAACAAGGUUUCCGUAGGUGAACCUGCGGAAGGAUCAUUACAAGAAACGAGGCUACGUGCCCCGCUCUUUACCUUACCUACUGCACUAUCUAUUACUUCCUGGCGGCGGUUUACCUGCCGCCAGGGACAUUAUAAAGCCCUAUAUAAGCAUUAAAAAACUAAAACAAACCGAAUCGUACAACUUUCAACAAUGGAUCUCUUGGUUCUG